AGGAGCUAAACUCAUAAUCUAUCCACUAGUACAAUUAGAUUCAACAGGUAAAGACAGAAAUGAGCAAACAUGACAAAGAAAUCCAAACUGACUACUGAGUUUGAUAAAAAACGUAAGAGGACAAUACUUAACAAACUAACAUGUUCUAGAUUUUGAUUACAUUCUAUUCAUUAAUAAAUAUACUAAUAAGAAUCUUUCUAAAGCUAAGUAUUACAUGUUGUGCAUGAAGUUGAAAGAAGGAGAAAUGAAGCUCAAUAACAGAUAGCAUCAGAUUUCAUCACAUUCCAGAUCCAAACUUCAAAUUGCACUCCUAUGAUAUCCAUAGUGCCGAAAAUACCUAGAAAUGAAGGGGAAACAAGAGAAGUGCAGAAAUCAGUAGGCAAUAAGCAGCAUGACAUCGAUGAAACAAUGUUGAAAUUAGCCAAAAACCCAGGAAUUCAAACUAAAACAGCAACUAGACAAUACUUCGCACAAAACAAGCUCAAAACCAACUUUCAAAAUCCCAAAAUCAAACCAUCUUCAACCCAGGUGCAGAAUUAGAGGUUUUCAAGAGAUUCUAACUAAUGAAGAGGAUCAAAAAUUUCAAACUAAUCAGAAUUUUGACAAUUUUCACAAAAAAUGCAGAGAAAUUAGUGUGCUUCCACAGUUUUCAGCCGUUUCAGUUUUGCAGAAUUUUUAUCUCUCCAUUUUUGCCUUCUCAGGCAAGAGAAGGUGCCUUUAUAGGCAAGCAAAUAAGGCCACCUUUCAGAUUUUAGUUCUACCCUUUAAGCCUUUUUCAAAUUUGCUUUUAGCUUAGAGAUCCCUAAAAUUUUGACUUGUUAACGAAGCUAACUUACUAACAAUCUGAAAUUCAAAUUAAAACCCCUGCUAGAAGCUUCCUAUUUCUGUUAUCAAAAAGAUUCCCUCAAUAAAAUACCCAAACUAUCCCUCAUGCCCAUAUUAUUUACCUUGCUAACCAAACAAACUUGGGCUCAAAACAACCGGGCAUCUUGAAUUGGGUCAUAAAUGACUCAAAAUACCCAAGGCUGGUUCCAAAUCAGUCCAAAUGAACAUUAAGAAACUCAAACUCUGACCCAAAAACCCCAACAAAACUAAGUGACAGUAACACGAAUAAACAAUUUGACUUUGUGCUGACUAUUACCUUGACAACUAUGAAUUAAAAGGAGAAAAGAUAAAUAAUAACAAAGUUGACACAGCAAAAUCAACCAUAAUCGGGUUUGGAAUAAUUAAACUGAGGUACUAACAAAUUCGUGCUUAAUUGAUCAAAACAGUUAAAGAAACCAAUUUGGGAAAUAAAACUUAACGAAGAGCACAAGAACAUGACCAACUCUCAGACAACACAAUUAACCGAGUUUCAAUUGAAUCGACCAGAAAGAGGAGGAGAGGUGAACCAAGAAACGAAGGAAGGACUCACCGACUAAAACUCUAACUUGGUGAUUGGCACUCCUAUAUGACGUCAGGUACUUGUUAUUUAUCAAGGAACAACUCUGCAUGUACGGGUUUGGAUUUGGCUUCAAAAGCUCGGGCUUCAGAUUCAACAUUCGACGAGUUCCAGAUAGAUUUGAGGGGAGCUGGUCACAGAUUUGGGGAAAGAGGGUCGAAGAGGCACUAGGAUGUUGAUUUGGUGGGGAAAGGUGGUGGCGCCGCCACCGGAGGACGAUGGGAAAAGGUGGCGGCUCUUAGGGUUUACGCUGGGUCUCUGGUGUGAGAGAGACGACUGAGCUAGGGGGGAAAAGGUUCUG
Molecule: long non-coding RNA, 1742 nt
Filed under: Nicotiana tabacum (common tobacco)
Lineage: Eukaryota; Viridiplantae; Streptophyta; Magnoliopsida; Solanales; Solanaceae
Description: long non-coding RNA (NTAB_LNC010657)
Source: RNAcentral